AUCCUCUAGAGAUUAAGUUGUUUGCAAGUUCUACUUGAGCUUUAAUCCAGUCUGCAAUCGUGUGAUUGCGAAUUCAAGACUAACGGGAGCCUGCGGCUUAAUUUGACUCAACACGGGGAAACUCACCAGGUCCAGACACAAUAAGGAUUGACAGAUUGAGAGCUCUUUCUUGAUCUUGUGGAUGGUGGUAGAACAGUACAGGUGCCACCUACAGCUACGGCAUAGCUAGCCCGUCUCCGCGCGGGCGACACUCUCAAGGUGCUGAAAGCCUCCGGUGUGAAGGCACGGAGGUAUCAGCAGCCAGGCGUGCUCUCUGGCGCGCCUUGGCCCACAGACUAAAUGGGGGUGGGCUGGUGCUCUUCGGUGGAGCUCCAGUUGUAAGAUAUAGCCGAACCCGGGGCUGCAAGGCUCCCGGUAUCAGUGGCAUGGCCGUUCUUAGUUGGUGGAGUGAUUUGUCUGCUUAAUUGCGAUAACGAACGAGACCUUAACCUGCUAAAUAGCCAGGCCAGCUUUGGCUGGUCGCCGGCUUCUUAGAGGGACUAUCGGCUCAAGCCGAUGGAAGUUUGAGGCAAUAACAGGUCUGUGAUGCCCUUAGAUGUUCUGGGCCGCACGCGCGCUACACUGACAGAGCCAACGAGUACAUCACCUUGGCCGAAAGGUCUGGGUAAUCUUGUUAAACUCUGUCGUGCUGGGGAUAGAG
This 700-nucleotide ribosomal RNA is filed under the name uncultured fungus. RNAcentral's name for it is "partial 18S ribosomal RNA". The stretch from base 86 to 700 matches the Rfam family "Eukaryotic small subunit ribosomal RNA", at positions 1178 to 1581 of the family's 1831-position model. Lineage: Eukaryota; Fungi. The record is from RNAcentral.